UUUUUUUUUAUUUUUUUUGUAAUGCAUAAUGCGAGUGUUAGCAUGUGUUACGAUAUUAGGCUUUUAAAAACCUAUGUAUUUACCAAGAAAUAGUGCAAUCUAUUGUAAUGUCAUUUUUAAUACUCGCGGUUCUAAUAAUGGUUAUUAAGUCCGCGAUAAUACCUAUGUUUAUUAUAAAUUUUUCAGUAAACCGUUGAACACUUAUAUGGCUGGAGAAUACUGAACAUUAAUUAAACAAAACAUGAUCUCAGGUAAAUUUAAAAUACCUUACAUGUUAUAGGAUAAAUACUAUUUAUAUGACUAUAAUUAUUUUAGUGCUAGAUUUUAAUAAGUGCCAAGUAUAGUUAGCUUAUAAAAUCAGUAUGUACUUAUGUGCCAAUAUAAAUUACUAUAAGUUUAACCCAAAUUAUAAUUUAAGUUUAAUUAUACUUAACACUUAAUGAAUGUUGUAUUAUAUAAGCACUUUUCUCUUUUUGAGUUUAUUCGGUAUCUCUAAACGCAUAAUACACCGAAGUAAUAAAGAAUUGAAAAGAGAAUGCCUACUAUAAUAAUAUUGGUAUGAAACACAAAUUAAUAAAAAUAAUUUGUACACAACUAUCUAUUAUUGUACUAUGAUAAAACAAAAUAAUUAAUAAAUCAUAUUUUACUAGCGUGAAUCACUUUUUCAGUAAUAAAUUUCACUACCUACCAACCUACCUGACAAUAUUAGUGGCUCUCUGAGAUAGGUUAUGUUAAGAGAAACUUCAUUAAAGCCAAAUAAAAGUUUAUUACACUUAAUCAUUUUAGGUAAUAAGAUUAGCAAAAAAAAAUAUAUAUAUCAAAAUUUAACAUAAUUGUUUUUUUUUUUUUCAUGAAAAACAGUUGGAUACGUAAAUCUGCUUUUUAUAUAAAUCGUUAAAAAUGAACCUUUUAUCGACUUUUUAACUAUUUGAUAAUAUUAUCAUCUAUGUGCAUUACACUGUUUCCCGACGGCUAAAUUUAAUAUAUAUUAUUACGUUUUCAAUCUUAAAUCUGUCAAUUAUAAUUAUCGAACUAAUGCCACAUUAUAAUAUAUUAGAAAAAAAUAACCUCUCUAAUGAUAUAAAAAAAAAAAUAACAAUAAGUAUGAAUUAAUAUCUGCAUUACUACAAAUAGAAAUACAUUAUGUGAGUAAAUUAUUCUGUUUUAAAAAGUUAAAAUUAACAAAUCGUAGAACAAUUUUAAACA
Non-coding RNA from Cinara cedri, 1206 nucleotides. The record is from the annotation of a GenBank genome assembly. Lineage: Eukaryota; Metazoa; Arthropoda; Insecta; Hemiptera; Aphididae.